CGCAUCAUCAGUGUGCGCUAAGGGCACGUUUGGCCCGCGUCGCUCAAAGGAGUGGUUGCUUUGUUGUCCCAGCAAUGAGCUGUGCCCAGUUAAUGGGGUCUUGCUUCCCGUGGCGACUGGGUACGGUCGCCCCGCGACACCUCUCAGCUUAUGGAAGAAGAAUCAGUGUCAGAUUUUGCAGCUCAGGACUGACUUUAGACAAGAUCAGUCGGGCAGCUGUGGACCGAAUCAUACGGGUGGAUCAUGCAGGUGAAUAUGGAGCAAACCGCAUUUAUGCAGGACAGAUGGCGGUCCUGGGUCGCACAAGUGUCGGGCCAGUCAUCCAGAAAAUGUGGGAUCAAGAAAAGGACCACUUGAAAAAGUUCAACGAAUUGAUGGUUGCAUACAGGGUCCGGCCGACUAUUCUGAUGCCCUUUUGGAAUGUGGUGGGGUUUGCACUGGGCGCAGGAACCGCCCUGCUGGGGAAGGAGGGAGCGAUGGCCUGCACGGUGGCUGUGGAAGAGUCCAUAGCACAUCACUACAACAACCAGAUCAGGGCAUUGAUGGAGGAGGAUCCUGAAAAAUACAAUGAACUGCUUCAGGUGAUAAAGAAAUUUAGAGAUGAAGAGCUUGAGCAUCAUGACAUAGGCCUUGAACAUGAUGCAGAACUGGCUCCAGCAUAUGCCGUUUUGAAGAGGCUUAUCCAAGCUGGAUGCAGUGUGGCGAUAUAUUUAUCAGAAAGAAUUUAAGACUUGAACUGAAACAUUGGCUCUUCUUGGGCUUGGAGUUGCCAGCUUUCAGGCUGGAGCUCCACCAUCAGCUCUCCUGAGUCUCCAGCCUGCCAGCUGCAGACCUUGAGGCUUGUCAGCCUCUGUAAUCACGUGAGCCAAUUCCUUACAAGUUACCUGUCUCUGUACCCUGUUGUGCUUUUCUCAGGAAGCCUGACUAAUACUGGACCUAAAGGAAAGAUGAGUCAGUGGUGAGUUUAAGACUGAAUAACUAGGAAAAUGAUCAAAAUAUAGGACAGAAAUAAAGAAAUAAUAUCAAAGGAAGUGACUAGUUUUGGAAGAAGGGGUUUUUUUCCCCCAUUUACAAAGCAUUGAUUAAGCAUCUGCCCUGUGCCAGAUGAAGUGCCAGCUACUGGGGACUGAAAGAUCUACCUGGCUGUGGAAACUAGAGGCCAACAUGCAGCCUUCUGAGUUUUCCUUCAGCCUCACCAGCCACAUUGAAUUAAUCUUCAGGUCUGCAACACCUCCUCGGAUUGCUCUCAACCAUUUCUUUGGCAGAUAGGGCUUUCAUUGGAAUCACCAUCUUCUAUCCUUUUAGGGAUUUUGUGAAGAUUUCACUUAGGGUUCAGGAAGAACAUGGACCUAUUUGAAGAGGUUUGUAUGUGAAAUCAGGAAAUGGAAGGUCACUGGUAUUGAUCAAAGUAUGUGGGCAUAAAGUGUAUUUCUCAUUUCUUUAUUGAAGUGGUUAAGAAGAGUGCUGCUAACAAUGUCAAGUGUUUAUUGGGGGAAGAGUUAGUGUCCAAAGAAAAAUCUGCAGUUUUUCUAUGAGAUGCCAUUAGUCAAAAUGGACUUGAGUAAAGAAAGAUGAGAGGGGAGAGAGGACAUCUCCAGAUAGGGAGAAAGAGACACCUAUUCUGGGUGGCUGCUAAGGCUGAGAGUCUGGCCUCUUCAUACUUCAUACUUUAGCUCCAUCUGAGGGAAGGGAAUCUUAAGAAAGCUACUGCAAAAAAUGACAGCUUGGACCUCUCCCACCUCUUGGAGUAACAUGGGAUACUGUGUUAUCCAUCCAUUCCCAUGAGAGCUCAGGGGAAGCCCUUAGACUAUCUCCCUCUACUCAGCAACUGGGUAUGCCCAGGGACUGUGUUUGGGUCAGUGAUACAUAAACAGAAGUUCUUAGGCGGGGUUUUCAGGAAAGCUGCUCAGGAAUGGGGCAGACAACUGCGACCUGCUCUCUCUGUCUUUCCCCAAAUGUUGCAUCCAGCCUGGGAUGUGGAUAUCAGGGCUGGAAUGCCAGCAACCAUUCUGAAGGUACAGUACAAUUCAACAUGUGCAAAAUGACUUCUGUUCAAGUUGCAGAACCUAUGAACAUUGUUAAGUGAAGAUUUAUUAUGUGCCAGGUGUGGACUGGAUCUGUCUGUGUGUCACUUCACAUAAUCCAUACUGCCAAGGAAACUUGAAAAUCAAAAAGGGAUGAAUAGUUGAUGACAUCUUUGCUCUGGAUUUCGUGGAGUGCUGCUGCCACAGCAACAAGCCUGGAAUAGCCUGCCGGAGGACGAGAAAUCACACAGAUCGGGAACAUGCUGUUCCACACGUCCCUGGGCAAACCAGCCUGCCAACCACUGGACACUGAGCGGGCCAUCCUAGACCAUUCAGCUCCAGCCAAGCCACCGAGAGACCACUGACAUCUAGACCAAGCUGGCCUAGAACAGAACAACCACCCUGCCUACCCACAGAAUUGUGAAAAAUAAUAAAUGUUUGUUAUUUAAGCCUU
Phyllostomus discolor (pale spear-nosed bat) is the source of this 2478-nucleotide RNA transcript. It is a transcript of the gene named coenzyme Q7, hydroxylase, with no coding region annotated. The record is from RefSeq and is a predicted model, not a curated record. The transcript is spliced from 9 exons. NCBI's taxonomy places the organism in Eukaryota, Metazoa, Chordata, Mammalia, Chiroptera, Phyllostomidae.